AGUGGUUAAGAGUUUGGCUGAUAACCAAAAGGUUGGUGGUUCAAACCCACCAGCUACUC
RNAcentral lists this transfer RNA (59 nucleotides) under Loxodonta africana (African savanna elephant). It matches the Rfam family "tRNA", at positions 14 to 71 of the family's 71-position model. From Rfam's summary of the family: Transfer RNA (tRNA) molecules are approximately 80 nucleotides in length. Lineage: Eukaryota; Metazoa; Chordata; Mammalia; Proboscidea; Elephantidae. The record is from Rfam by way of RNAcentral.